UACAGAGGUCUCAAGCGUUGUUCGGAUUCAUUGGGCGUAAAGGGCGCGUAGGCGGUCGUGUGCGUCGGAGGUGAAAUCCCCGGGCUUAACCCGGGAGCUGCCUCCGAUACGGCAUGGCUUGAGUCCGGGAGAGGGGAGCAGAAUUCCCAGUGUAGCGGUGAAAUGCGUAGAUAUUGGGAGGAAUACCGGUGGCGAAGGCGGCUCCCUGGACCGGUACUGACGCUGAGGCGCGAAAGCGUGGGGAGCGA
Molecule: ribosomal RNA, 248 nt
Filed under: uncultured bacterium
Lineage: Bacteria
Description: partial 16S ribosomal RNA
Rfam family: Bacterial small subunit ribosomal RNA
Source: RNAcentral